RNAcentral lists this ribosomal RNA (261 nucleotides) under uncultured archaeon. Its description in RNAcentral is "partial 16S ribosomal RNA". It matches the Rfam family "Archaeal small subunit ribosomal RNA", at positions 721 to 982 of the family's 1478-position model. The record is from RNAcentral.
CACUGACAUUAGAUACCCCUGUAGUCCCAGCCGUAAACUAUGCGCGUUAGGUGUACUGGUGACCACGAGUCACCGGGGUGCCGAAGGGAAACCGUGAAACGUGCCGCCUGGGAAGUACGGUCGCAAGGCUGAACUUAAGGAAUUGGCGGGGGAGCACCACGACCGGGUGGAGCCUGCGGUUUAAUUGGACUCAACGCCGGAAAUCUCACCGGAUAGGACAGACAUAUGAUAGUCGGGCUGAAGACUCUACUUGAUGAUCUG